Molecule: ribosomal RNA, 435 nt
Filed under: uncultured bacterium
Lineage: Bacteria
Description: partial 16S ribosomal RNA
Rfam family: Bacterial small subunit ribosomal RNA
Source: RNAcentral
AGCGAACGCUGGCGGCAGGCUUAACACAUGCAAGUCGAGCGGGCAUCUUCGGGUGUCAGCGGCAGACGGGUGAGUAACACGUGGGAACGUACCCUUCGGUUCGGAACAACUCUGGGAAACUGGAGCUAAUACCGGAUACGCCCUUAUGGGGAAAGGUUUACUGCCGAAGGAUCGGCCCGCGUCUGAUUAGCUAGUUGGUGGGGUAACGGCCUACCAAGGCGACGAUCAGUAGCUGGUCUGAGAGGAUGAUCAGCCACACUGGGACUGAGACACGGCCCAGACUCCUACGGGAGGCAGCAGUGGGGAAUAUUGGACAAUGGGCGCAAGCCUGAUCCAGCCAUGCCGCGUGAGUGAUGAAGGCCUUAGGGUUGUAAAGCUCUUUUGUCCGGGACGAUAAUGACGGUACCGGAAGAAUAAGCCCCGGCUAACUUCGUG